Molecule: ribosomal RNA, 751 nt
Filed under: Staphylococcus aureus
Lineage: Bacteria; Bacillati; Bacillota; Bacilli; Caryophanales; Staphylococcaceae
Description: bacterial SSU rRNA
Rfam family: Bacterial small subunit ribosomal RNA
Source: RNAcentral
AAAAGUGAAAGACGGUCUUGCUGUCACUUAUAGAUGGAUCCGCGCUGCAUUAGCUAGUUGGUAAGGUAACGGCUUACCAAGGCAACGAUGCAUAGCCGACCUGAGAGGGUGAUCGGCCACACUGGAACUGAGACACGGUCCAGACUCCUACGGGAGGCAGCAGUAGGGAAUCUUCCGCAAUGGGCGAAAGCCUGACGGAGCAACGCCGCGUGAGUGAUGAAGGUCUUCGGAUCGUAAAACUCUGUUAUUAGGGAAGAACAUAUGUGUAAGUAACUGUGCACAUCUUGACGGUACCUAAUCAGAAAGCCACGGCUAACUACGUGCCAGCAGCCGCGGUAAUACGUAGGUGGCAAGCGUUAUCCGGAAUUAUUGGGCGUAAAGCGCGCGUAGGCGGUUUUUUAAGUCUGAUGUGAAAGCCCACGGCUCAACCGUGGAGGGUCAUUGGAAACUGGAAAACUUGAGUGCAGAAGAGGAAAGUGGAAUUCCAUGUGUAGCGGUGAAAUGCGCAGAGAUAUGGAGGAACACCAGUGGCGAAGGCGACUUUCUGGUCUGUAACUGACGCUGAUGUGCGAAAGCGUGGGGAUCAAACAGGAUUAGAUACCCUGGUAGUCCACGCCGUAAACGAUGAGUGCUAAGUGUUAGGGGGUUUCCGCCCCUUAGUGCUGCAGCUAACGCAUUAAGCACUCCGCCUGGGGAGUACGACCGCAAGGUUGAAACUCAAAGGAAUUGACGGGGACCCGCACAAGCGGUG